Molecule: long non-coding RNA, 701 nt
Organism: Scaptodrosophila lebanonensis
Lineage: Eukaryota; Metazoa; Arthropoda; Insecta; Diptera; Drosophilidae
Exons: 4
Source: RefSeq, a predicted model, not a curated record
CGAUACUUAUUAAUAUCGAUGGUUCAGCCCAGGAACAGCUGUGCUUGACCGGGACCAUUCACAAUGGACUCCCCGUCUAUUGAUAAUUUAUUUGCUGCUACGCAAAUAAAUAAAUAAAAGGCUCAACACUAGACAUGUAAGGGUGAGAUGAGGAUCCUCAGUAUGACGCUGCACCACGGCACGCAGUCACUGUAGAAGGCGCCUACUAAAAACUCAAAUCUUGCUCGGGCUAUGGCGAAUUGCUGCUCCUAUGCUCUGAUACGUAGGGCAACGAUGCUCCUUCCGCUUGGGACAGGACAUGGACCUACUACGCAACCAUUCAUAAGAACUACCAAACAACCACAAAAAAAAACGCCUCAGAGCACCCUGUAGGGCAACAAUGAGUGGGCACCAAGACUCCUCACGGACCUGCUACACUCGCUCCUUCGCUGCGCCUAUUCUGCUGGUUACCAACCUACACCGCGCUGUAAGAAAGAUGCAACUGCGGCAACGAUGGGCUGAGCCCUAGUGAAGCUCACCCACGGACCUGGCAGUUGCACCGUUUCCCGCCAGCUCAGGGGCCGCCAGCAGCUAUUGCUGUUGAAAUUUACAUGUAAACACUAAAUAAAGAAUACAAAUCAACAAAAAAAACAAACAACAAGACUCUGGCUUUUAACUUCGCUUCGAACUGGGGCAACAUUUGCUAAAAUGUAGACCCAGGU